Molecule: ribosomal RNA, 692 nt
Filed under: Cloacibacterium sp. RBC21
Lineage: Bacteria; Pseudomonadati; Bacteroidota; Flavobacteriia; Flavobacteriales; Weeksellaceae
Description: bacterial SSU rRNA
Rfam family: Bacterial small subunit ribosomal RNA
Source: RNAcentral
UGCAGCCGAGCGGUAUUGUUUUCUUUCGGAAAUGAGAGAGCGGCGUACGGGUGCGGAACACGUGUGCAACCUGCCUUUAUCUGGGGGAUAGCCUUUCGAAAGGAAGAUUAAUACUCCAUAAUAUAUUGAACGGCAUCGUUUGAUAUUGAAAGCUCCGGCGGAUAGAGAUGGGCACGCGCAAGAUUAGCUAGUUGGUGAGGUAACGGCUCACCAAGGCGAUGAUCUUUAGGGGGCCUGAGAGGGUGAUCCCCCACACUGGUACUGAGACACGGACCAGACUCCUACGGGAGGCAGCAGUGAGGAAUAUUGGUCAAUGGGUGCAAGCCUGAACCAGCCAUCCCGCGUGAAGGACGACUGCCCUAUGGGUUGUAAACUUCUUUUGUAUAGGGAUAAACCUACCCUCGUGAGGGUAGCUGAAGGUACUAUACGAAUAAGCACCGGCUAACUCCGUGCCAGCAGCCGCGGUAAUACGGAGGGUGCAAGCGUUAUCCGGAUUUAUUGGGUUUAAAGGGUCCGUAGGCGGACUUAUAAGUCAGUGGUGAAAGCCUGUCGCUUAACGAUAGAACUGCCAUUGAUACUGUAAGUCUUGAGUAUAUUUGAGGUAGCUGGAAUAAGUAGUGUAGCGGUGAAAUGCAUAGAUAUUACUUAGAACACCAAUUGCGAAGGCAGGUUACCAAGAUAUAACUGACGCU